UGUUUGUUUUUGUUUUUUUGUUGUUGUCAGUUUAUAUUCGAUCUAUGAGUUUGACUAACCUUUGGUAUAUUUCGCCGCGUUGUGAAUUUAUUUUCGAUCUAUGAGUUUGACUGUCCCUUUGGUAUAUUUCGCACCUCCCUUUAAGGUAGAGGAGGGUAAUUUAGAAAAAAAUAUAUGUAUUAGACAGUUAAAGGUCUUACCAAAAAAUGAGAGUUCAAUCACUGCAAAAAAAAAGAACGACUUAAACAAUAGAAUGUCGUCACAACAAUGUUUAAGAAUGAAUAUAUUUCACAGUACAAGGUCUAGGAUACACCAUUCUUCCGGGCCAUCCAGUCUUUGCUCUUACUUCUCCGUUUCACGUGAUUAGCAGUAAGUAAACAAAUACAUGUUCAGGUAGCACUCCACAGUUAGGUGUGUAGUUUCGCAUUUUGGCCCCUGUGGAUUUUUUAAAUAUGAGAGCUAGUGUGCAAUAAAAUUCAUUUUUGGAUAGCUGAGUAUUAAAAAAGCCUUUGUAUUGGGUUUAUAUGAACAUCAAGAUUAUGUAAUGUAUGUAAUAUAGGCUGUUUUCUGUAUGACAGUCCGUAUUUGCAUGUCC
Molecule: long non-coding RNA, 595 nt
Filed under: Mytilus galloprovincialis (Mediterranean mussel)
Lineage: Eukaryota; Metazoa; Mollusca; Bivalvia; Mytilida; Mytilidae
Source: RNAcentral